GCUUGGCGUCGUCUACCAUGCAGUCGAGCGGUAGCACAGAGAGCUUGCUCUCGGGUGACGAGCGGCGGACGGGUGAGUAAUGUCUGGGAAACUGCCUGAUGGAGGGGGAUAACUACUGGAAACGGUAGCUAAUACCGCAUAAUGUCGCAAGACCAAAGAGGGGGACCUUCGGGCAUCUU
Molecule: ribosomal RNA, 179 nt
Filed under: Klebsiella pneumoniae
Lineage: Bacteria; Pseudomonadati; Pseudomonadota; Gammaproteobacteria; Enterobacterales; Enterobacteriaceae
Description: partial 16S ribosomal RNA
Rfam family: Bacterial small subunit ribosomal RNA
Source: RNAcentral